RNAcentral lists this RNase P RNA (407 nucleotides) under Prosthecochloris sp. Its description in RNAcentral is "RNase P RNA component class A". It matches the Rfam family "Bacterial RNase P class A". From Rfam's summary of the family: Ribonuclease P (RNase P) is a ubiquitous endoribonuclease, found in archaea, bacteria and eukarya as well as chloroplasts and mitochondria. The record is from RNAcentral. Lineage: Bacteria; Pseudomonadati; Chlorobiota; Chlorobiia; Chlorobiales; Chlorobiaceae. RNAcentral also lists the same sequence under 2 other names.
AUACCGCAGUGCGCAGUCGCUGUAGAGAGCCUUCGCUCUCUGCAGAGGAAAGUCCGAACAUCGCAGGACAGGGUGCCGGCCGAGAGCCUCUGGCUCAAGUCCGGGCUCACGGCCUGUCAGCCGUGAGACAGCAAGUGCAACAGAAAGCAAACCGCUCCGGAAUACCGGAGUAAGGGUGAAACGGUGGUGUAAGAGACCACCAGGCAUGCCAGUAAUGACAUGUGCUGGGUAAACCUCCCCGAUGCAAGGCUGAAUAGGGAAGCUUUUUCAUAACGAAAAGAGGGCUGUCCGUCCGAUUCCUGUUUCAGGAGAGUUUCCGGGUGAGCCGCACCAGAUAAAUGACUGCGGCCUUCCAGGGCUCCGGCUCUGAAAGGACACAGAAUUCGGCUUAUAACUGCGGUAUCAUU